Equus caballus (horse) is the source of this 90-nucleotide non-coding RNA. Lineage: Eukaryota; Metazoa; Chordata; Mammalia; Perissodactyla; Equidae. The record is from Rfam.
CAGAACUGGUCGGUGAUUUAGGUAGUUUCCUGUUGUUGGGAUCCAGCUUUCUCUCGACAGCACGACACUGCCUUCAUUACUUCAGUUGAA